Molecule: transfer RNA, 72 nt
Filed under: Camelus bactrianus (Bactrian camel)
Lineage: Eukaryota; Metazoa; Chordata; Mammalia; Artiodactyla; Camelidae
Also listed under: 2 other names
Rfam family: tRNA
About the family: Transfer RNA (tRNA) molecules are approximately 80 nucleotides in length. Their secondary structure includes four short double-helical elements and three loops (D, anti-codon, and T loops). Further hydrogen bonds mediate the characteristic L-shaped molecular structure. tRNAs have two regions of fundamental functional importance: the anti-codon, which is responsible for specific mRNA codon recognition, and the 3' end, to which the tRNAs corresponding amino acid is attached (by aminoacyl-tRNA synthetases). tRNAs cope with the degeneracy of the genetic code in two manners: having more than one tRNA (with a specific anti-codon) for a particular amino acid; and 'wobble' base-pairing, i.e. permitting non-standard base-pairing at the 3rd anti-codon position.
Source: Rfam by way of RNAcentral
GAGGGUAUAGCUUAGUGGUAGAGUGCAUGCUUAGCAUGCAUGAGGUCCUGGGUUCAAUCCCCAGUCCCUCCA